This is a non-coding RNA of Cymbomonas tetramitiformis, 74 nucleotides long. NCBI's taxonomy places the organism in Eukaryota, Viridiplantae, Chlorophyta, Pyramimonadophyceae, Pyramimonadales, Pyramimonadaceae. The record is from the annotation of a GenBank genome assembly.
GCACUCAUAGCUCAGUUGGUUAGAGCACCCGUUUAGUAAGCGGGAGGUCCCGAGUUCGACUCUCGGUGCGUGCA